RNAcentral lists this ribosomal RNA (484 nucleotides) under uncultured bacterium. Its description in RNAcentral is "bacterial SSU rRNA". It matches the Rfam family "Bacterial small subunit ribosomal RNA", at positions 328 to 803 of the family's 1533-position model. The record is from RNAcentral.
GAAUUCAACUCCUACGGGAGGCAGCAGUGGGGAAUAUUGCGCAAUGGGGGAAACCCUGACGCAGCAACGCCGCGUGAGUGAGGAAGGUCUUCGGAUUGUAAAACUCUUUUCUUAGGGAAAAAUGUUUUAGUGGUUAAUACCCAUUAGAAGUGAUGGUACCUAAGGAAUAAGCACCGGCUAACUUCGUGCCAGCAGCCGCGGUAAUACGAAGGGUGCAAGCGUUAUUCGGAAUCAUUGGGCGUAAAGCGCGCGCAGGCGGAUUAAUAAGUCAGGUGUGAAAUCUCGGGGCUCAACCUCGAAACUGCGCCUGAAACUAUUAGUCUAGAAUGUCGGAGGGGGCAGGGGAAUUUCACGUGUAGGGGUAAAAUCCGUAGAGAUGUGAAGGAACACCGGAGGCGAAGGCGCCUGCCUGGACGACUAUUGACGCUGAGGCGCGAAAGCGUGGGGAGCAAACAGGAUUAGAUACCCUAGUAGUCCAGGCGUU